AAGGAAUAUUGGUCAAUGGGCGGAAGCCUGAACCAGCCACGCCGCGUGCAGGAAGAAGGCCCUACGGGUUGUAAACUGCUUUUAUACGGGAAGAACCGCCCUCCUGCGGGGGGGUAUGACGGUACCGUAGGAAUAAGCAUCGGCUAACUCCGUGCCAGCAGCCGCGGUAAUACGGAGGAUGCAAGCGUUAUCCGGAUUCAUUGGGUUUAAAGGGUGCGUAGGUGGGUCCAUAAGUCAGUGGUGAAAUCCGGCAGCUCAACUGUCGCACUGCCUCUGAUACUGUGGGUCUUGAGUUAAGUUGAAGCAGGCGGAAUAUGACAUGUAGCGGUGAAAUGCAUAGAUAUGUCAUAGAACACCGAUAGCGAAGGCAGCCUGCUAAACUUACACUGACACUGAUGCACGAAAGCGUGGGUAGCGAAC
RNAcentral lists this ribosomal RNA (420 nucleotides) under uncultured bacterium. RNAcentral's name for it is "bacterial SSU rRNA". It matches the Rfam family "Bacterial small subunit ribosomal RNA", at positions 356 to 773 of the family's 1533-position model. The record is from RNAcentral.